AGUGAACGCUGGCGGCGUGCCUAAUACAUGCAAGUCGAACGAAGUGGCGCACGGGUGGGUAAUAUAUAGUUAAUCUACCCUACACAGAGGAAGAACAGUUGGAAACGACUGCUAAUACCUCAUAGUGUAGGAUGAUACUAUAACGUAUCAGCUAGUUGGUGAGGUAAUGGCUUACAACGGCUAUGACGCGUAACUGGUCUGCGAGGACGAUCAGCAGACUCCUAACGGAGACACGGGUAGGGAUCAUACGGGAAGGAGCAGAAACGUGUAGUGCGCAAGCGGGGUGACUGAGGAGGAGCAUCGGGUCGUAAAGGAUGAUACUUUUAGGAGAAUAAAUUGCUUUUAAAAGGAAAGCGGUACCUGAAGAAUAAGCACCGGCUAACUCCGUGCCAGCAGCCGCGGUAAUAC
RNAcentral lists this ribosomal RNA (408 nucleotides) under uncultured bacterium. RNAcentral describes it as "partial 16S ribosomal RNA". It matches the Rfam family "Bacterial small subunit ribosomal RNA", at positions 29 to 526 of the family's 1533-position model. The record is from RNAcentral.